This 380-nucleotide long non-coding RNA is filed under the name Homo sapiens (human). Its description in RNAcentral is "HSALNT0346720". The record is from RNAcentral. Lineage: Eukaryota; Metazoa; Chordata; Mammalia; Primates; Hominidae.
CAAAAACUUUCCUUUCCCUUUAUUCAUGAAAAUUUGGUCUUUGGUUGAUUUCCUGCUUUCGUUUCCAUAGAAACUAAUGGCAUGUUUUACUAGACAAUGCUGCUUAUGGAAAAGCUGACCCUGGAUAGGUACAUUGCUCCUGUAGUGGCAAUUACAAAUACAGUAUUCUUCCUUUAUCCCCAGUUUUGUUUCCACAACUUCAGUCACCCCAGUCGACCAUGGUCCAAAAAUACUAAGUGGAAAAUGACCCCCCAGAUUCCUAAGUUUUAAAUUACAUGUCAUUCUGAGUAGUGUGAUGAAAUCUUGCACCAUUCUGCUUCAUCCUGACUAGGAUGUGAAUCUUCCCUUUCUCCAGUAUCUCCACUCUGUGGGGAUCUCCU